AUACGGAGGAUCCGAGCGUUAUCCGGAUUUAUUGGGUUUAAAGGGUGCGCAGGCGGGAGAUUAAGUCGGCGGUGAAAUUUUGGCGGUCAACUGUAAAAGGGGCUUUGAAACUGGGUUUCUUGGGUGUAGAUGUAGUAUGGGGGAUUUUGGGGGUAAGGGUGAAAUGCAUAGAUAUCACGAGGAACUCCGAUUGCGCAGGCAGCUUACUAAACUACUACUGACGCUCAGGCACGAAGGCGUGGGGAUCAAACAGGAUUAGAUACCCUGGUAGUCCACGCAGUAAACGAUGAUUACUAGCUGUUUGCGAUACAAUGUAAGCGGCUGAGCGAAGGCGUUAAGUAAUCCACCUGGGGAGUACGUUCGCAAGUAUGAAACUCAAAUGAAUUGGCGGGGG
This 394-nucleotide ribosomal RNA is filed under the name uncultured bacterium. RNAcentral's name for it is "partial 16S ribosomal RNA". It matches the Rfam family "Bacterial small subunit ribosomal RNA", at positions 523 to 919 of the family's 1533-position model. The record is from RNAcentral.